GUGGGGAAUAUUGCGCAAUGGGCGAAAGCCUGACGCAGCAACGCCGCGUGGGGGAUGAAGGUUCUCGGAUUGUAAACCCCUUUCGACCGGAACGAAUCCCCUCCUGGUAAAUAAUCAGGAGGAUCGACGGUACCGGGAGAAGAAGCCACGGCUAACUCUGUGCCAGCAGCCGCGGUAAGACAGAGGUGGCGAGCGUUGUUCGGAUUUAUUGGGCGUAAAGCGUACGCAGGCGGUUUGGUAAGUCAGAGGUGAAAGCCCACAGCUUAACUGUGGCACUGCCUUUGAUACUGCCUUUCUAGAGUGCAUGAGGGGGAAGCGGAAUUCCGAGUGUAGAGGUGAAAUUCGUAGAUAUUCGGAGGAACACCGGUGGCGAAGGCGGCUUCCUGGCAUGUAACUGACGCUCAUGUACGAAAGCGUGGGGAGCAAACAGGAUUAGAAACCCUUGUAGUCC
Molecule: ribosomal RNA, 451 nt
Filed under: uncultured bacterium
Lineage: Bacteria
Description: bacterial SSU rRNA
Rfam family: Bacterial small subunit ribosomal RNA
Source: RNAcentral